UAUUAUUUAAAUUGUAAUUUAAUAAAUUAAAGUAGUAAUAGUUAUGUUCUUGAAACUUAAAAAAUUUGGCGGUAUUUUAGUCUAUCCAGAGGAACCUGUUUUGUAAUCGAUAAUCCACGAUGGACCUUACUUAAAUUUGUAAUCAGUUUAUAUACCGUCGUUAUAAGAAUAUUUUAUAAGAAUAUUAAUAUUCAAUAAUUUUUAUUAAAAUUUAUAUCAGAUCAAGGUGUAGCUUAUAUUUAAGUAAUAAUGGGUUACAGUAAAUUUAUUUAUACGGAUUAAAUUAUGAAAAAAUUUUUGAAGGUGGAUUUGGUAGUAAAAUUAUAAAGAUUAAUAAUUUGAUUUUAGCUCUAAAAUAUGUACAUAUCGCCCGUCGCUCUUAUUAUUAAGGUAAGAUAAGUCGUAACAUAGUAGAUGUACUGGAAAGUGUAUCUAGAAUGA
RNAcentral lists this ribosomal RNA (441 nucleotides) under Mycodrosophila dimidiata. RNAcentral describes it as "partial 12S ribosomal RNA". The record is from RNAcentral. Lineage: Eukaryota; Metazoa; Arthropoda; Insecta; Diptera; Drosophilidae.